GGGGACGUUCUUGGAUUCGACAGGGGUCCCCGAGCUUAUUAAGCGUGUCGGAGGGUUGGCUCCGUCAUCAACACAUUUCGGUUAAAUAUAACUGACAAAUCAAACAAUAAUUUCGCAGUAGCUGCGUAAUAGCCACUGCAUCGCCUAACAGCAUCUCCUACGUGCUGUUAACGCGAUUCAACCCUAGUAUUGCUUAGCAUGAUGCGAAAAUUAUCAAUAAACUACACACGUAGAAAGAUUUGUAUCAGGACCUCUGGACGCGGGUUCGAAUCCCGCCGUCUCCAUUA
This 287-nucleotide transfer-messenger RNA is filed under the name Staphylococcus epidermidis. It matches the Rfam family "transfer-messenger RNA". From Rfam's summary of the family: Bacterial tmRNA, also known as 10Sa RNA or SsrA, is named for its dual tRNA and mRNA-like properties. Its role is to liberate the mRNA from a stalled ribosome. The record is from RNAcentral. Lineage: Bacteria; Bacillati; Bacillota; Bacilli; Caryophanales; Staphylococcaceae.